This 627-nucleotide ribosomal RNA is filed under the name uncultured fungus. RNAcentral describes it as "eukaryotic LSU rRNA". It matches the Rfam family "Eukaryotic large subunit ribosomal RNA", at positions 23 to 673 of the family's 3401-position model. The record is from RNAcentral. Lineage: Eukaryota; Fungi.
ACCCGCUGAAUUUAAGCAUAUCAAUAAGCGGAGGAAAAGAAACCAACAGGGAUUGCCUCAGUAACGGCGAGUGAAGCGGCAACAGCUCAAAUUUGAAAUCUGGCCGCAAGGUCCGAGUUGUAAUUUGUAGAGGAUGCUUUUGGCGAGGUGACUUCCGAGUUCCUUGGAACAGGACGCCAUAGAGGGUGAGAGCCCCGUACGGUAGUGACACCGAGCCUCUGUAAAGCUCCUUCGACGAGUCGAGUAGUUUGGGAAUGCUGCUCUAAAUGGGAGGUGUAAGUCUUCUAAAGCUAAAUACCGGCCAGAGACCGAUAGCGCACAAGUAGAGUGAUCGAAAGAUGAAAAGCACUUUGAAAAGAGGGUUAAAUAGUACGUGAAAUUGUUGAAAGGGAAGGGCUUAUGACCAGACCUUUGCCUUGCGGAUCAUCCGGUGUUCUCACCGGUGCACUCCGCUUGGUUGAGGCCAGCAUCAGUUUUGGCGGCCGGAUAAAGACUUCAGGAAUGUGACUCCUCCGGGAGUGUUAUAGCCUGCUGUGUAAUACGGCCGCUGGGACUGAGGACCGCGCUUCGGCUAGGAUGCUGGCAUAAUGGUCAUCAGCCACCCGUCUUGAAACACGGACCAAGGAG